GCCGGUGUGGCGGAAUGGCAGACGCGGCGCACUCAAAAUGCGCUGUCCGUGAGGGCUUGUGGGUUCGAGUCCCACCACCGGUA
RNAcentral lists this transfer RNA (83 nucleotides) under Clavibacter michiganensis. RNAcentral's name for it is "tRNA-Leu". It matches the Rfam family "tRNA". Rfam says of the family: Transfer RNA (tRNA) molecules are approximately 80 nucleotides in length. Lineage: Bacteria; Bacillati; Actinomycetota; Actinomycetes; Micrococcales; Microbacteriaceae. RNAcentral also lists the same sequence under 7 other names. The record is from RNAcentral.